RNAcentral lists this ribosomal RNA (253 nucleotides) under uncultured bacterium. RNAcentral describes it as "partial 16S ribosomal RNA". It matches the Rfam family "Bacterial small subunit ribosomal RNA", at positions 524 to 776 of the family's 1533-position model. The record is from RNAcentral.
UACGGAGGGUGCGAGCGUUAUUCGGAAUUACUGGGCGUAAAGCGCGUGUAGGCGGGAAGGCAAGUCUGAUGUGAAAGCCCCGGGCUUAACCUGGGAAGUGCAUUGGAAACUGCCAUUCUUUAGUGCUGGAGAGGAAGGGGGAAUUCCCGGUGUAGAGGUGAAAUUCGUAGAGAUCGGGAGGAAUACCAGUGGCGAAGGCGCCCUUCCGGACGGCAACUGACGAUGAGACGCGAAAGCGUGGGGAGCAAACAGG